AUACAGAGGGUGCAAGCGUUAUUCGGAAUUACUGGGCGUAAAGCGCGCGUAGGCGGAUGAUUAAGUCAGUUGUGAAAGCCCUGGGCUCAACCUAGGAACUGCAUCUGAUACUGGUCGUCUAGAGUUUAGGAGAGGGAAGUGGAAUUCCAGGUGUAGCAGUGAAAUGCGUAGAUAUCUGGAGGAACAUCAGUGGCGAAGGCGACUUCCUGGCUUAAAACUGACGCUGAGGUGCGAAAGCGUGGGUAGCGAACGGAAUUAGAUACCCCAGUAGUCC
RNAcentral lists this ribosomal RNA (274 nucleotides) under uncultured bacterium. RNAcentral's name for it is "partial 16S ribosomal RNA". It matches the Rfam family "Bacterial small subunit ribosomal RNA", at positions 523 to 796 of the family's 1533-position model. The record is from RNAcentral.